RNAcentral lists this ribosomal RNA (144 nucleotides) under Klebsiella pneumoniae. RNAcentral describes it as "partial 23S ribosomal RNA". It matches the Rfam family "Bacterial large subunit ribosomal RNA", at positions 1 to 145 of the family's 2925-position model. Lineage: Bacteria; Pseudomonadati; Pseudomonadota; Gammaproteobacteria; Enterobacterales; Enterobacteriaceae. The record is from RNAcentral. RNAcentral also lists the same sequence under 1 other name.
GGUUAAGCGACUAAGCGUACACGGUGGAUGCCCUGGCAGUCAGAGGCGAUGAAGGACGUGCUAAUCUGCGAAAAGCGUCGGUAAGGUGAUAUGAACCGUUAUAACCGGCGAUGUCCGAAUGGGGAAACCCAGUGCAAUUCGUUG